CAACAUUUCAGCAACGGAUCUCUUGGCUCUCGCAUCGAUGAAGAACGCAGCGAAAUGCGAUAAGUAAUGUGANUUGCAGAAUUCAGUGNNUCAUCGNAUCUUUGAANGCACCUUGCGCUCCUUGGUAUUCCGAGGAGCAUGCCUGUUUGAGUGUCAUUA
This 159-nucleotide ribosomal RNA is filed under the name Psilocybe subaeruginosa. RNAcentral describes it as "5.8S ribosomal RNA". It matches the Rfam family "5.8S ribosomal RNA". Rfam says of the family: 5.8S ribosomal RNA (5.8S rRNA) is a component of the large subunit of the eukaryotic ribosome. It is transcribed by RNA polymerase I as part of the 45S precursor that also contains 18S and 28S rRNA. The record is from RNAcentral. Lineage: Eukaryota; Fungi; Basidiomycota; Agaricomycetes; Agaricales; Agrocybaceae.